This is a non-coding RNA of Salmo salar (Atlantic salmon), 257 nucleotides long. The record is from RefSeq and is a predicted model, not a curated record. Lineage: Eukaryota; Metazoa; Chordata; Actinopteri; Salmoniformes; Salmonidae.
GUUGUCAGCCAGCGACAGAAGGAUAAGAAGCUGUGUUCCAACACAAUCUUUUUCCUUCUGAUUUGACAAUGACAUGGAUAGGUCAAAGGAAGCCUCCUCUACGCUGCCCGGGGACAGGUCCUCCACACCACACACAAUAAUGAUAUACAUUCUCUGUUCCACAGGAAGAGGGCAGUAGUGAGACAGGCCAGCACCCAGCCCACAGGAACAGAAUACAGCAGCAUCAACACAGCUAACAGGCCACCAUAGAACCUGAG